Molecule: ribosomal RNA, 447 nt
Filed under: uncultured bacterium
Lineage: Bacteria
Description: bacterial SSU rRNA
Rfam family: Bacterial small subunit ribosomal RNA
Source: RNAcentral
AGUCCAGACUCCUACGGGAGGCAGCAGUGGGGAAUAUUGCACAAUGGGGGAAACCCUGAUGCAGCGACGCCGCGUGAGUGAAGAAGUAUUUCGGUCUGUAAAGCUCUAUCAGCAGGGAAGAAAAUGACGGUACCUGACUAAGAAGCCCCGGCUAACUACGUGCCAGCAGCCGCGGUAAUACGUAGGGGGCAAGCGUUAUCCGGAUUUACUGGGUGUAAAGGGAGCGUAGACGGCAUGGCAAGUCAGAUGUGAAAGCCCGGGGCUCAACCCCGGGACUGCAUUUGAAACUGUCAGGCUGGAGUGCAGGAGAGGUAAGUGGAAUUCCUAGUGUAGCGGUGAAAUGCGUAGAUAUCAGGAGGAACACCGGUGGCGAAGGCGGCCUGCUGGACUGCAACUGACGUUGAGGCCCGAAAGCGUGGGGAGCAAACAGGAUUAGAUACCCGGGUA